CUCAACCUGAAGCGUGCCUUGUCCUCUGAUCUGCUGACUCACUCUGCACAUAGUGGACCACAGAGUCCAGGAGGGAGAGAGAUACCAGGAAGAGGUUCUUCCUGAGAGCUGGCUGUGAGGGAGCAGGCCAAAGACGAAGCCAGGGGCUUUGUGGCCAGCGCUGGAGCCCAUCCACUGAUCAGCAAAGCAAGAGCCGGUACACAAACGGAGAAGCAGAGGGGAACAGCUCGCGAUGCACGAGAUUGCCGCUUUUUAUCCCCCUGGUGCGAAUAGCAAAAUAAUGCCUCACUAUAAAGCAUAAGGCGAUGCUGAGAUUUAAAAUAUGUAUGAAUUCUGGUUUUCUAAUACAUUGUGCAAACUUACUUAUAGGAUGUGACCAUCAGGUCCCUCCCUGAUUCAAAGCAAGUAUGUGUGUGUGUGCACGUGUGUGGCGAGGGACCAAAUCUGUGUGUUCUUGCUGCAUUCUGAGAGGAAACCCAAGGGACCAGAAGCUGCAUUUACAUUCAGCUGUUUUCUGGUAGAUUUAUGCCUUGGCAUGAUUUGUUUACAUUUAUUUCCACAGUACAUGUCUGUGGAGGAUACAGCUGGAAAGCUCCGCAGGGAAAGACUGCCUGCUAGGAUGUAGAGCUGUUUUAUGUGGUGGGAGGUGUUUAAGAAGGGCCCUCAAAGCUUCCUUGUGUACUUGUUCAGCUAUAACCAACAUUCAAAUUUAGCUAACUCUGAGGCAAUAAUGUAAUCACUGCUAAAAAGAUAUUGGGUGCUUUUGCCAAUUGGACGUCAGAGCCAUUUGGCAGUGAUGACAUGCUCCUCCACUCACCACGAUGACUGAUGGGAUAUUAAAAAGUGAAUCACCUCCGCGGGAGAGGGCGGUUAACUGUCAGAGUUAGGCUAGUGAGGAACAUUACCCUCCUCUGUAUAUAAUGAGACAUAUUUAAAACAGCAAUCAUCGCCUCCUUUGAACCUUGGGUCACAGUGCAGAAUCAAUCCUUCAGGUGAUUGAAAAGAAAGGCCAUGUGUGUGUCAGACUUAACCAAGGUCACACAUGCAUGUGGAAUGAAUGUUCUCUUAGAACUGCUGAGCGUGAUUAAAUUUACAGCUUAGAUUCACAUUCGGACUCUAAAUCAUCGGUCAGGUCAUUAUGUGAACUGCCGGUCUUCUUCGAGCUUCUUUCAAUUGAAUUAAGGUAUUAUUCUGGGUAAUUUGGUUUGGAGAUUAACACUUCGUACGGGCUACAGCGUCUUAGUUGCUUCGGGAUGAACAAGGAAAAAAGAGGAAAGAGACAUUUCAGCAGAUAAUUUAUACAUUUCUGCAGGGUAUUUGCUAAACAAUCAUCAGUUUAGAAAUAUAUAUAGCAUUCUUAGUUCCUUUUACAAAAUUGUAUUUCAGAAUUUAGAUUCAGUAUACAGUAUAUUAUGUUAACAAUGUCUAUGCUCAAAUGUUUUAGUCAUGAAAGUUCAUACAUGUUUAAUAUGUCAGUUGUGGUUCUUGUGGUCUUAAGCAGAGAUGUUUCCGUAGCAAAUUGUGGUUGGAAUUCAUAAAUACUUCCAUGCAGGUUGCCCCGUAUUACUGUUUCCCCUUACUUAAUGAGUUUUACAGCCAUAAAUGAUUCAGCUGGUUCCCGGUGUCAGUUUUAUAUUUCUAUUUGGAAAA
Scatophagus argus is the source of this 1650-nucleotide long non-coding RNA. RefSeq lists it as uncharacterized. The record is from RefSeq and is a predicted model, not a curated record. The transcript is spliced from 3 exons. Lineage: Eukaryota; Metazoa; Chordata; Actinopteri; Scatophagidae.